Molecule: unclassified non-coding RNA, 327 nt
Filed under: Aster yellows phytoplasma
Lineage: Bacteria; Bacillati; Mycoplasmatota; Mollicutes; Acholeplasmatales; Acholeplasmataceae
Description: 16S-23S intergenic spacer
Rfam family: tRNA (bases 148-221)
Source: RNAcentral
CAAGGUAUCCCUACCGGAAGGUGGGGAUGGAUCACCUCCUUUCUAAGGAAACAAUUAUCAUCUUCAGUUUUGAGAGACUUAAGAAAGUUUUUCAUUGUAACUUGCUUGCAAAUUGUAUCUGCAACAUUUUAAUCUUUUUAAGAUUAAGGGCCUAUAGCUCAGUUGGUUAGAGCACACGCCUGAUAAGCGUGAGGUCGGUGGUUCAAGUCCAUUUAGGCCCACCAUAACCACAAAUAGGCAAAAUCUUAAAAAAGCUCUUUGAAAAGUAGAUAAACGAAGGUUAAAAAAUCAAAGGAACUAAGGGCGCACAGUGGAUGCCUUGGCACU